RNAcentral lists this unclassified non-coding RNA (245 nucleotides) under Hevea brasiliensis (rubber tree). Lineage: Eukaryota; Viridiplantae; Streptophyta; Magnoliopsida; Malpighiales; Euphorbiaceae. The record is from RNAcentral.
GUUAUCAAGAGAUAGAUGAUCCUUUUUCUGUCUUAUCUUACGGAGCUGCAAAUGAGUUUCUAAGAUUUGGAAGACUGGCGGAUCUAGCUACUUGUCAUUAAGAUAUAGAUUGCCCUUUUUUUUUUUCCAUUUGAGAUAAUCUUACGGAACAGCAAAUGCACCUAUCCUUGCCANNNNNNNNNNGAUCUCUGAGCAUCGAUGGCUUGAUGUUUGGAAUAAGCUCCUUAGCUUUUCGGUAUACCAGG